RNAcentral lists this non-coding RNA (30 nucleotides) under Rattus norvegicus (Norway rat). The record is from RNAcentral. Lineage: Eukaryota; Metazoa; Chordata; Mammalia; Rodentia; Muridae.
UGGAAAUGGAGGAAAUCUAUCCUGUGAGGU